This 194-nucleotide small nucleolar RNA is filed under the name Dasypus novemcinctus (nine-banded armadillo). RNAcentral's name for it is "Small nucleolar RNA U3 (ENSDNOG00000026475.2)". It matches the Rfam family "Small nucleolar RNA U3". From Rfam's summary of the family: Small nucleolar RNAs (snoRNAs) are involved in the processing and modification of rRNA in the nucleolus. There are two main classes of snoRNAs: the box C/D class, and the box H/ACA class. U3 snoRNA is a member of the box C/D class. The record is from RNAcentral. Lineage: Eukaryota; Metazoa; Chordata; Mammalia; Cingulata; Dasypodidae.
AGGACUAUACUUUCAGGGAUCAUUUCUAUGGCUCAUGACAAGAGAGGCGUCUCUGAAUGUGUAGGUCUCCUAAGGCCAAGAGGAAGAGGCACGGCGUUCUCUCCUGAGCGUGAGGCCGGCUCUAUUCGCUCUUGAUGAUCAUUCUUCUCUUUCAUUUUGGUGGAGUAAGAGGGAGAGAACGCAAUCUGGGUGAC